UACGUAGGGAGCAAGCGUUGUCCGGAAUCAUUGGGCGUAAAGCGCGCGUAGGUGGCCUCAUAAGUCCGCUGUGAAAGUCCAAGGCUCAACCUUGGAAAGCCGGUGGAUACUGUGAGGCUAGAGUACGGAAGAGGCGAGUGGAAUUCCUGGUGUAGCGGUGAAAUGCGUAGAGAUCAGGAAGAACACCGGUGGCGAAAAGCGCUCUGCUGGACCUUAACUGACACUGAGGGACGAAAGCUAGGGGAGCGAAUGGG
This 254-nucleotide ribosomal RNA is filed under the name uncultured bacterium. RNAcentral's name for it is "partial 16S ribosomal RNA". It matches the Rfam family "Bacterial small subunit ribosomal RNA", at positions 524 to 776 of the family's 1533-position model. The record is from RNAcentral.